GCAGAGUAAAUUUGUGUGCGUAAUAUCGUUUUUACAGCGAUGAUAAGUGUCAUGCGAACGGGGAGUUGUCGUGUGAACGAAAAGGGAUUCCUGCGGUACACAAAUUGCAUCCCGCUG
This 117-nucleotide non-coding RNA is filed under the name bovine gut metagenome. RNAcentral's name for it is "THF riboswitch". It matches the Rfam family "THF (Tetrahydrofolate) riboswitch aptamer". Rfam says of the family: THF riboswitch presents a pseudoknot that joins P1-P2 and the loop of P3 and two THF binding. The record is from RNAcentral.